RNAcentral lists this ribosomal RNA (693 nucleotides) under Triticum aestivum (bread wheat). Its description in RNAcentral is "partial small subunit ribosomal RNA". The record is from RNAcentral. Lineage: Eukaryota; Viridiplantae; Streptophyta; Magnoliopsida; Poales; Poaceae.
GCAGGUGUCGGCAAGACGUGCCUGGAGCGGCAGUUCACGGCCAAGAAGUUCCUGGAGGUGCACGAUCUCACCAUCGGCGUUGAGUUCAGCAGCCGCACCAUCAACGUGGACGGCAAGCGCAUACAGCUCGACAUCUGGGACACGGCUGGCCACGAAGCAUUCGUACCUAUUACUAGACAAUUCUACUGCAGAGCUGCUUGCAUCAUUUUGGUUUAUGAUAUCACAAGGAGGGAGACUUUUGAUCAUAUUGCUACAUUGCUUGAAAGAGCAAGAGAGCUAUCGAGAGCCGGCGUAACAUUGGCGCUGAUCGGAAACAAAUGCGAUCUGUCUCACAUGCGUGCGGUCAGCUACGAGGAAGGGCGAGAGUUCGCCGAGAGGCACGAUCUCGUGUUUAUGGAGGCCUCUGCAAAAACCACACAAAAUGUUGAUGAGGCAUUCAUUCUGACCGCUGAAAGAGUACACAAGAAAGUCCAAGAUGGCGUCCUUGACUUACCUGAAAAGGUCAGUUUAAGUGCUUGCCUUGUCCAAUAUGCAGGCAAGGCAAAAGAUUGGCUAUCAAUUGGUUGGCAACCAACUUACUUUGCCAAUCUCUCAAAACUUGGCAAUCUUUGGCAAGCUUUGGAGUCGUCAAAUCUUGGCAUGCCAAUAUGCUGGAUAGCCAAUUUUUGGCACAAAAUGGGUCAAUGGAAGUAG